UUUCAUUGCACACCAAACACAUCAUUUUGUUUUCGAAACCACGUGGAUUUUCACUCACAAUAAUUUUCAGUGAUGUCGCACAAGAGGAAGUAUCCGUUCUAGAUAAUUUAUUGAGAUUCAGAGCAACAUACUGUAAUGAACUAUUAAAUUUGUGGACGCACAUGUGGAGAAGAAGGCAUAAGCUAGCUAUUAUGAUGCAUAACAAUAAACAAUUUGAUAGAGAAGAUUGGAUUUGGAAGGAGUUAAGAUUAGUUAGUAAAUAUAUUGUAUCAUAUGAUGAGCUAAUUAGUUAUAUGCAUUUGGAGUUGUUCUGUUUGAGCUUAUAUCUGGGAAGCAAGCUAUUGUGAAGACAACUGAGGAUAAGAAUGAAUCAAAAGGACUAGUUGCACUGCUUGAAGAAGUUCUUGGUCUUUCAGAACCAAAAGAAGAUCUUGGUAAACUUGUUGACCCUAGGCUUGGUGAAAAUUACCCUAUUGACUCAGUAUUUAAGAUGUCUCAGCUUGCUAAAGCAUGUACACAUGAAAAUCCUCAACUUAGACCAAGCAUGAGAUCAAUUGUAGUUGCCUUAAUGACAUUAUCAUCAGCAGCUGAGGAUUGGGAUGUUGGCUCCUUCUAUGAAAACCAAGCAUUAGUCCAUUUAAUGUCUGGAAGGUAGCACAGUUUUGCUAGCUACCUAGU
RNAcentral lists this long non-coding RNA (678 nucleotides) under Medicago truncatula (barrel medic). RNAcentral describes it as "lncRNA gene8296". The record is from RNAcentral. Lineage: Eukaryota; Viridiplantae; Streptophyta; Magnoliopsida; Fabales; Fabaceae.